AAAAUUAAUAAGUAAUGUGCUCGCGGAGGAUUUGAAUCCUCGUGCCUACGUGUUCUUACAGUGCAAUGAGAAAGUCAGAACUCCGUAGUUCAAGGACUAAUAUGGAACAAAGAAAGAAUUGAUUGGGUUGCAAAGAGGUAAAGCAAAUUUCUUGAAUAACAGGAGUGUGGAAUUAACCAAUGAGUGAUGUAUAGCCAAAAAGAAUUUGUGAAGGCAUGCUCUAAACCAAGGAUGCUACCAAAGUUUGAGACUCUACAAGGUAGG
This 264-nucleotide long non-coding RNA is filed under the name Lathyrus oleraceus (garden pea). RNAcentral's name for it is "Pisum sativum (pea) long non-coding RNA (PSAT_LNC023656)". The record is from RNAcentral. Lineage: Eukaryota; Viridiplantae; Streptophyta; Magnoliopsida; Fabales; Fabaceae.